UACGUAGGGUCCGAGCGUUGUCCGGAUUUAUUGGGCGUAAAGAGCUCGUAGGCGGCUUGCUAAGUCAGGUGUGAAACCUCCAGGCUCAACCUGGAGCCGCCACCUGAUACUGGUAUGGCUAGAGUCCGGUAGGGGACCACGGAAUUCCUGGUGUAGCGGUGAAAUGCGCAGAUAUCAGGAAGAACACCCGUGGCGAAGGCGGCUCUCUGGGACGGUACUGACGCUGAGACGCGAAAGCGUGGGGAGCGAACAGG
Molecule: ribosomal RNA, 254 nt
Filed under: uncultured bacterium
Lineage: Bacteria
Description: partial 16S ribosomal RNA
Rfam family: Bacterial small subunit ribosomal RNA
Source: RNAcentral